CUGGAGCCAGCCCUGGCCAGGAGGCUGCUAAUGAUCCCUAGAACUGGUAACACAUGGGCCCAUAGCAAUAUGGCUCAACCCUGGCCAGGAGGGACCAUCUCUAGAGGAGUUCAGUGUCCAGGGCCAUCCAGUCCUUGGCCUCU
RNAcentral lists this small RNA (143 nucleotides) under Gopherus agassizii (Agassiz's desert tortoise). RNAcentral describes it as "TUC338 (ENSGAGG00000013905.1)". The record is from RNAcentral. Lineage: Eukaryota; Metazoa; Chordata; Testudines; Testudinidae.